This 116-nucleotide ribosomal RNA is filed under the name Lepisosteus oculatus (spotted gar). Lineage: Eukaryota; Metazoa; Chordata; Actinopteri; Semionotiformes; Lepisosteidae. The record is from RNAcentral.
GUUAGCAGCCAUAUCACUCUGCAACUCACAACUGGCAACCCACUGAAGCUAAGCAGGGCUGAGUCUGGUCAGUACCUGGUUAGGAGACCUGGGAAAACCUGUGGUUGCUGCUGGAA